CCCCUUGUAUAAUGUUAGUAUGUUUUCCGAGCCGAUCUGGGCAUGCGAGCCAUUUCUGGUCUGACCUACUACAAACCCUACAGUCGAUGGGCUCCCAUCAUAAUGGUCCGUCCGCUUGGAUGGACUUUUGGCUCGCUUCAGCUUAACGAGUCUGCCUCGUUCACAACUGAGUCCUGUGGACUUAGCCCACCAUCCUGGCCUAGACCCAUGUCCCCAUCCACUGAGCCAAGAUCCAUCAGCACUUGAAAAGGCCCACUCACCCAUUCUGAGUCUACUAAGCUCGCUCGCCCGAGUUCACCACUCGUUGAGCCCUUGUUCGGAGAUCUGUGUUGAGCCAUCUUCGUCGGCUUCUGCCAUCCAUCCAAGUCAAGUGGUAAGCCGGCCGAAUCUGAGGUGUCCCUUGGUGAACUCAGCUAGAAUGAAGACGAAUUAGGGCCAGUCGACUUAGGAUGCACUUCAGCCUCCUUAGACUUCGGUUCCACCCUUGGCGCCCUCGGUUGUCAGAUUCGGGCUAUCACAAUCGAAGGACCAAGCCGAGGGUGGCCACCGGUCACCUGGGAGAUAUCAUCAAGAUCAUCUGCCGGCAGCACCACCCCUUUUACCACCAUCAUUGAUGUCACCUCUAGCUCCUUGCAUCGAACUCAAGACUCCAUGAAGUUCUUGGGUCGUAGGGGGCAAUCAAUCCCUUUCAAGCUCGGUUCUGCUUGCGGAAAACGGCAUGCCUCGUCGGAAUGUCCCAACCGACUGCAGAGGUAGCAGAUGGUGGGGAUGUUAUCAAAAACAAAUAGUUGCUAGAAAACACCUUUCAAUCCUCUGAUCAGGAUACUGGGCUUCAAAGAUUUGCCGGUGUCGAUGGCCAUUCUCUUGCUUCCAAUAUUCAAUGGGCAGCUCGAGGAGUCUAAGCCACACCACCGUCUGGCGAACCGUAUUAGGCCCCGGCACAAAAUCCACGAUCCAAGGCUCUAUAGCAAGGAGUUGGCUGCCAACAAACCAUAUGCAUCCUUUAAGUUGACCGAAAAUGGAGCAGAUAAUGAUCCUCUGCUAUAGCAAAGGUCCCUAGGUCAUACUCAAGCUUACAUUACUCCUUCACCUCCUUCGCCACCUAGUCAAACGGCACUUGCCGGCUGAGGCUACGGACAAAGAUAGGGAUGUUCUCCCAUUUCCUCUGGGAUGCCGCCAUUUUAUCCUCCAAGAACUCGAGGACUUUGGUGAAAUAGCAUUGAAGCCUCUCCACCUCUUCCUCAGAUAUUAUGUGCGAUGUCCACAUUGGCUACCUUGGACCUCCCUGUACCACCUUCGCCCAUGACCGGCCUCCUCUCCCAGAUUUAGCAGAUGAUUGGCCACCCUCGCCACCGCUUCCAGGCUUCCUCUCCAUCCCUCUAAACGCCCACAAACUGCUUGACGAAAUGCUCUAUAGGGGACAUGAAAAUCAAGACACAGUGCUCACAACCACUCACGAGCGAACUUUUUAUCUUUCAAAACAACUUUGCCCUCACUGGAAUAAAGUAAAAGCACCCUCACUGGAAUAACAUAAGAGCACCCUCUCCCUAGCAAUUUCAAAUGAUAUUCUACUAAAUAGUUAGAGUGUUCUACAAGAAAUUGAAGGGGGGGAGGCAAUCGACAUAGCAACCCCUUUUGAGUAUGACCAUGAGAGCCCCCACCCCGCUGAGUGAAUAUUCGAUAUGGGGAGCAACAACACAAUUCCCUCCCCACCAUAUCCGAGGGGAGACUCCGGAUUGGGUGAGCACAUCACCCCUAGCCCCACCUCAGUACACGGAGGACCAGAUGCCGCAUCCAAGCACACCCGCUCAGGCCGAUGCGAGGAACGGAUGCUAAGGUUCGUUCCAAUCGGGCUACCACAGCGGUGGUGGUUGGAGUCUUCUAUAAGGAGCUGAGUCUUUUGCCUAAAAUAUCAACAAAUAAAAUAGUUCAUACUUCACAAUGAUACAGAACUUUCCCAAGAAAAUAUUUACAUAGCUGAUGUGGAGCAUUUGAAUUCCUUCCAUAUUUAAAAAUAAGGUCCUUCAAAAGCUCCAUAUCGGCUUAAGCAAUAUUUCAUGUGAAAUUUGUGAGUUGCUAGCAAGUCUUGAUUUAAAAUCAAGUAAGAUUUUGACCAGCUCCCUCUCUCUCCCCACAGUCCGCCCCUUCAUUUCCAAAGGUUAAGUGUGAAAUGCUUCCCCUACCCUACUUCUUUAUCUUUCUCCUCCUGAUCUCUAUCCUACAUUGUCGCUUGUCCGAAGUUUCGGCACUAGCCCCAACACCGGACCAGCUACCAUCCUUGGGCCUGAAAAGGACUACCUGAAGCAUUGUUGUCCAACCCUGAUUUAGACCAGCCAACAACCUUGACCUUGAAGAGGAGUGCCUAAAGCUCUAUUGGCUAGCCUCACACCAGACCAGCUACCAAUCCUGAUUUCGAAUGAGCAUAGCCUAAACCCCACCAAUCAGCUACAUCAUCCGACCAGCCACCAAACUCAACUUUAAACUCAGGUCUGUCCAAUCUUUAUCUAGCCUCCAUCCUUCUUCUCUUUGGACUCUUAACAUUGCUGCAUGAGAUUUUUGGUUGGAAGACUCUGACCUACAUUAAUUAUGUGAAAAAAAAUCCCCAUGUCUAGGGUGUAUUGCUGAGUCUAACACAUGUCCGCUAGUUGAUACUUCUCAACAUGUUAUUCUUGCCUCAGAUUCACGAUUCCAAGUAACAUUGCUAAACUGUGGUUGGGCUUUGUGUAAGAAUGCUUGAUGCUUCUUCAAGGUAAGAUUCUCUUUAUUUUCUAUGCUUCUUUAGAAUAUGACUCAUUUCAUGGAUACAAUGGUGUAACGAUGAGAGUAUGUAGGCUGCCUCGUGGUCUUCAUGUUAAAGAUGUUAGUAUCCUAUCCAAGUUUUGCACUCUUGGUACCAGACCCCAUACUGAUAGCAUGUUGAUACAUUGUUCGUAGGCUUGGUAUGGGGUUGGUUCGGCAAAAUGAUACUUGGUUUCACCCCCAUACGGAGUAUCAAUUUGGUACCAGUAUCAUAUGGUAUGUCCAUUACAGCGCGCCAUUCAGUGGUUUGGGGAUUAGCCAUUUGUUUGAGUCCAUUGUGUGGGAUAGACAGUGGAUCUUUUAAAGGCCUCCUUCCCCUUCAAUGCCCCUUUCCUUACCCUCUUUGGCAUUUAUUGUAGCACAUGCUGUGGGGACAUAGUUGCUGUGAUGUUCAGGAUCCUGAUGUGGUUGUAAGUUCAUCUCUCCCCAUGGGAGGAUUCUUGGAUUAUGGGUAGCAUAGGGGUGCCAAGCAUUUCAGCUAGAGCAAAACCUGUUGCAGCACCAGUUGCCGCUUCAACCACUUCAGGUGCUUCAGCAGCUGGUGUUGUCAUAACAGAGACCCCUAAAAGCACUGCCAGACCCAUUGACAAAGAAGCAAUGUGCACAUCUAUUAGCAGCUCAGUGCCCUUUGGUUGGUCCUUUCUGCUAGGGUAUUUCUCAUCUCAUAUUUUUCUUAACAGUUUUUGUUAAUGGUUCAUACAGAUCUCAUACAGUUAUUAAGCCUCUACCUAUUUUCUUCCAUCAUCACAAAUACAUGAUCAGGGACACCUCUUGAUCUUAA
Molecule: non-coding RNA, 3580 nt
Organism: Elaeis guineensis (African oil palm)
Lineage: Eukaryota; Viridiplantae; Streptophyta; Magnoliopsida; Arecales; Arecaceae
Source: RefSeq, a predicted model, not a curated record